GUUUAGCCCGGAUUGAAACGGCAUCCUUUUUGCUUUUUUGCAAAAAGAUAUAGUGGAAAGCAGGAAAUAGC
Molecule: small RNA, 71 nt
Filed under: Polaribacter sp. SA4-12
Lineage: Bacteria; Pseudomonadati; Bacteroidota; Flavobacteriia; Flavobacteriales; Flavobacteriaceae
Description: Flavo-1 RNA
Rfam family: Flavo-1 RNA
Source: Rfam by way of RNAcentral